CGGUAGCAUCCACCGUCCUCCCCAACAGACACCAGGAUAACGACAAAACGCCUUCAUCAUGACCCGACGCCUACGAGUGCCGAAGGAGCUAUCUGUAGGGAGCAACGACAGUUGGCACACGGCCGCCUCCCCCUCCGGCAUGCACGCCGGCGCUCGCCAGAGGCCGGCGGAGGCGUCGGGCGUCUAGGAACUUGCUCCUCCUUCCUGCCGUAUUUUUUACCAUACUACG
This 229-nucleotide long non-coding RNA is filed under the name Setaria viridis. RNAcentral's name for it is "long non-coding RNA (SVIR_LNC001424)". Lineage: Eukaryota; Viridiplantae; Streptophyta; Magnoliopsida; Poales; Poaceae. The record is from RNAcentral.